This 143-nucleotide unclassified non-coding RNA is filed under the name uncultured Ascomycota. Its description in RNAcentral is "sequence contains ITS1". The record is from RNAcentral. Lineage: Eukaryota; Fungi; Ascomycota.
UCGAAGGGGGGUAACCCUCUACGAGAUAGCACCCUUGACCUUCAAAGUACCUUCUUGUUUCCUCGGCGGGCUAGCCCGCCAACGGGGACACCACAAAACCUUUCUGUAAUAGCAGUAUCUUCUGAAAAGUAAACAAAAAGUCA